ACGGGUGAGUAAUGCUUAGGAAUCUGCCUAUUAGUGGGGGACAACAUCUCGAAAGGGAUGCUAAUACCGCAUACGUCCUACGGGAGAAAGCAGGGGAUCUUCGGACCUUGCGCUAAUAGAUGAGCCUAAGUCGGAUUAGCUAGUUGGUGGGGUAAAGGCCUACCAAGGCGACGAUCUGUAGCGGGUCUGAGAGGAUGAUCCGCCACACUGGGACUGAGACACGGCCCAGACUCCUACGGGAGGCAGCAGUGGGGAAUAUUGGACAAUGGGGGGAACCCUGAUCCAGCCAUGCCGCGUGUGUGAAGAAGGCCUUAUGGUUGUAAAGCACUUUAAGCGAGGAGGAGGCUACUUUAGUUAAUACCUAGAGAUAGUGGACGUUACUCGCAGAAUAAGCACCGGCUAACUCUGUGCCAGCAGCCGCGGUAAUACAGAGGGUGCGAGCGUUAAUCGGAUUUACUGGGCGUAAAGCGUGCGUAGGCGGCUUAUUAAGUCGGAUGUGAAAUCCCCGAGCUUAACUUGGGAAUUGCAUUCGAUACUGGUGAGCUAGAGUAUGGGAGAGGAUGGUAGAAUUCCAGGUGUAGCGGUGAAAUGCGUAGAGAUCUGGAGGAAUACCGAUGGCGAAGGCAGCCAUCUGGCCUAAUACUGACGCUGAGGUACGAAAGCAUGGGGAGCAAACAGGAUUAGAUACCCUGGUAGUCCAUGCCGUAAACGAUGUCUACUAGCCGUUGGGGCCCUUUGAGGCUUUAGUGGC
Molecule: ribosomal RNA, 751 nt
Filed under: Acinetobacter sp. 33
Lineage: Bacteria; Pseudomonadati; Pseudomonadota; Gammaproteobacteria; Moraxellales; Moraxellaceae
Description: bacterial SSU rRNA
Rfam family: Bacterial small subunit ribosomal RNA
Source: RNAcentral